RNAcentral lists this ribosomal RNA (775 nucleotides) under uncultured bacterium. RNAcentral's name for it is "bacterial SSU rRNA". It matches the Rfam family "Bacterial small subunit ribosomal RNA", at positions 8 to 796 of the family's 1533-position model. The record is from RNAcentral.
AGAGUUUGAUCAUGGCUCAGAGCGAACGCUGGCGGCGUGCUUAACACAUGCAAGUCGAACGAGUGUAGCAAUACAUUCGUGGCGAACGGGUGCGUAGCACGUGGAUAACCUUCCUUCAAGUGGGGAAUAACCCAGUGAAAAUUGGGCUAAUACCGCAUAACAAAAUCGGGGCACAUGCUUUGAUUUUCAAAGGCGCAAGUCGCUAGAAGAGGGAUCCGCGGCCGAUUAGCUCGUUGGCGGGGUAACGGCCCACCAAGGCAAUGAUCGGUAGCCGGUCUGAGAGGAUGAUCGGCCACACUGGAACUGAGACACGGUCCAGACUCCUACGGGAGGCAGCAGUGGGGAAUCUUGCGCAAUGGGCGAAAGCCUGACGCAGCAACGCCGCGUGGGGGAUGAAGCUUCUCGGAGUGUAAACCCCUUUCGACCCGGACGAAUGCCCGCAAGGGCUUGACGGUACGGGUAUAAGAAGCCCCGGCUAACUACGUGCCAGCAGCCGCGGUAAAACGUAGGGGGCCAGCGUUGCUCGGAAUUACUGGGCGUAAAGGGUCCGUAGGCGGUGUGGCAAGUCGGAAGUGAAAUCUCUGGGCUUAACUCAGAGGCUGCUUCCGAAACUGCUGUGCUAGAGGAUGAGAGAGGCGAGUGGAAUUGCGGGUGUAGCGGUGAAAUGCGUAGAUAUCCGCAGGAACAUCCGAGGCGAAGGCGGCUCGCUGGAUCAUUUCUGACGCUGAGGGACGAAAGCUAGGGGAGCAAACAGGAUUAGAUACCCCUGUAGUCC